Molecule: small nuclear RNA, 108 nt
Organism: Sphaerodactylus townsendi
Lineage: Eukaryota; Metazoa; Chordata; Lepidosauria; Squamata; Sphaerodactylidae
Source: RefSeq, a predicted model, not a curated record
GUGCUUGCUUAGGCAGCACAUAUGCUAAUAUUGGAAUGAUAAAGAGAACGUUAGCACAGCCACUGCAUGUGGAUGUCAUGCACAUGUCCUUAAGCAUUUCACAAUUAA